GACGAACGCUGGCGGCGUGCUUAACACAUGCAAGUCGAACGAUGAAGCCUAGCUUGCUAGGUGGAUUAGUGGCGAACGGGUGAGUAAUACGUGAGUAACCUACCUUUAACUCUGGGAUAAGCCCGGGAAACUGGGUCUAAUACCGGAUACGACCAAUCUCCGCAUGGGGUGUUGGUGGAAAGCGUUAUGUAGUGGUUAUAGAUGGGCUCACGGCCUAUCAGCUUGUUGGUGAGGUAACGGCUCACCAAGGCGACGACGGGUAGCCGGCCUGAGAGGGUGACCGGCCACACUGGGACUGAGACACGGCCCAGACUCCUACGGGAGGCAGCAGUGGGGAAUAUUGCACAAUGGGCGCAAGCCUGAUGCAGCGACGCCGCGUGAGGGAUGACGGCCUCCGGGUUGUAAACCUCUGUUAGCAGGGAAGAAGAGAGAUUGACGGUACCUGCAGAGAAAGCGCCGGCUAACUACGUG
RNAcentral lists this ribosomal RNA (471 nucleotides) under uncultured bacterium. Its description in RNAcentral is "partial 16S ribosomal RNA". It matches the Rfam family "Bacterial small subunit ribosomal RNA", at positions 28 to 507 of the family's 1533-position model. The record is from RNAcentral.